GCAUGCGUGGCCGAGCGGCAAAGGCACCUGGCUGUAACCCAGCGGUCACUACACGUGGCUCCGUAGGUUCGAGUCCUACCGCAUGCA
RNAcentral lists this transfer RNA (87 nucleotides) under Acidobacteriota bacterium. RNAcentral's name for it is "tRNA-Tyr". It matches the Rfam family "tRNA". Rfam says of the family: Transfer RNA (tRNA) molecules are approximately 80 nucleotides in length. The record is from RNAcentral. Lineage: Bacteria; Pseudomonadati; Acidobacteriota.